Molecule: ribosomal RNA, 253 nt
Filed under: uncultured bacterium
Lineage: Bacteria
Description: partial 16S ribosomal RNA
Rfam family: Bacterial small subunit ribosomal RNA
Source: RNAcentral
UACAGAGGCCCCAAGCAUUAUCCGGAUUCACUGGGCGUAAAGGGUGCGUAGGCGGUGUGAUUAGUCAGGUGUUAAAUCCUGGGGCUUAACCUCAGAAUCGCAUUUGAAACGGUCAUACUAGAAGAAGUCAGAGGUAAACAGAACUCUCGGUGUAGGGGUGAAAUCCGUUGAUAUCGAGGGGAAUACCAAAUGCGAAGGCAGUUUACUGGGACUUUCUUGACGCUGAGGCACGAAAGCGUGGGUAGCGAAUCGG